GAUCUGGCUCAGGACGAACGCUGGCGGCGUGCUUAACACAUGCAAGUCGAACGAGAAUCUACUGAAAGAGUUUUCGGACAAUGGAAGUAGAGGAAAGUGGCGGACGGGUGAGUAACGCGUGAGGAACCUGCCUUGAAGAGGGGGACAACAGUUGGAAACGACUGCUAAUACCGCAUGAAGCAUAGGGGUCGCAUGAUUCUUAUGCCAAAGAUUUAUCGCUUCAAGAUGGCCUCGCGU
This 237-nucleotide ribosomal RNA is filed under the name uncultured bacterium. RNAcentral describes it as "partial 16S ribosomal RNA". It matches the Rfam family "Bacterial small subunit ribosomal RNA", at positions 15 to 236 of the family's 1533-position model. The record is from RNAcentral.